UACGGAAGGUGCGAGCGUUAAUCGGAAUAACUGGGCGUAAAGCGCGCGUAGGUGGUUGAGUCAGUCAGAUGUGAAAGCCCCGGGCUUAACCUGGGAACUGCACCUGAUACUGCUUAACUAGAGUACGGUAGAGGGCAGUGGAAUUUCCUGUGUAGCGGUGAAAUGCGUAGAUAUAGGAAGGAACACCAGUGGCGAAGGCGACUGCCUGGACUGAUACUGACACUGAGGUGCGAAAGCGUGGGUAGCAAACAGG
This 253-nucleotide ribosomal RNA is filed under the name uncultured bacterium. RNAcentral describes it as "partial 16S ribosomal RNA". It matches the Rfam family "Bacterial small subunit ribosomal RNA", at positions 524 to 776 of the family's 1533-position model. The record is from RNAcentral.